RNAcentral lists this ribosomal RNA (1363 nucleotides) under Staphylococcus aureus. RNAcentral's name for it is "bacterial SSU rRNA". It matches the Rfam family "Bacterial small subunit ribosomal RNA", at positions 92 to 1441 of the family's 1533-position model. The record is from RNAcentral. Lineage: Bacteria; Bacillati; Bacillota; Bacilli; Caryophanales; Staphylococcaceae.
UUAGCGGCGGACGGGUGAGUAACACGUGGAUAACCUACCUAUAAGACUGGGAUAACUUCGGGAAACCGGAGCUAAUACCGGAUAAUAUUUUGAACCGCAUGGUUCAAAAGUGAAAGACGGUCUUGCUGUCACUUAUAGAUGGAUCCGCGCUGCAUUAGCUAGUUGGUAAGGUAACGGCUUACCAAGGCAACGAUGCAUAGCCGACCUGAGAGGGUGAUCGGCCACACUGGAACUGAGACACGGUCCAGACUCCUACGGGAGGCAGCAGUAGGGAAUCUUCCGCAAUGGGCGAAAGCCUGACGGAGCAACGCCGCGUGAGUGAUGAAGGUCUUCGGAUCGUAAAACUCUGUUAUUAGGGAAGAACAUAUGUGUAAGUAACUGUGCACAUCUUGACGGUACCUAAUCAGAAAGCCACGGCUAACUACGUGCCAGCAGCCGCGGUAAUACGUAGGUGGCAAGCGUUAUCCGGAAUUAUUGGGCGUAAAGCGCGCGUAGGCGGUUUUUUAAGUCUGAUGUGAAAGCCCACGGCUCAACCGUGGAGGGUCAUUGGAAACUGGAAAACUUGAGUGCAGAAGAGGAAAGUGGAAUUCCAUGUGUAGCGGUGAAAUGCGCAGAGAUAUGGAGGAACACCAGUGGCGAAGGCGACUUUCUGGUCUGUAACUGACGCUGAUGUGCGAAAGCGUGGGGAUCAAACAGGAUUAGAUACCCUGGUAGUCCACGCCGUAAACGAUGAGUGCUAAGUGUUAGGGGGUUUCCGCCCCUUAGUGCUGCAGCUAACGCAUUAAGCACUCCGCCUGGGGAGUACGACCGCAAGGUUGAAACUCAAAGGAAUUGACGGGGACCCGCACAAGCGGUGGAGCAUGUGGUUUAAUUCGAAGCAACGCGAAGAACCUUACCAAAUCUUGACAUCCUUUGACAACUCUAGAGAUAGAGCCUUCCCCUUCGGGGGACAAAGUGACAGGUGGUGCAUGGUUGUCGUCAGCUCGUGUCGUGAGAUGUUGGGUUAAGUCCCGCAACGAGCGCAACCCUUAAGCUUAGUUGCCAUCAUUAAGUUGGGCACUCUAAGUUGACUGCCGGUGACAAACCGGAGGAAGGUGGGGAUGACGUCAAAUCAUCAUGCCCCUUAUGAUUUGGGCUACACACGUGCUACAAUGGACAAUACAAAGGGCAGCGAAACCGCGAGGUCAAGCAAAUCCCAUAAAGUUGUUCUCAGUUCGGAUUGUAGUCUGCAACUCGACUACAUGAAGCUGGAAUCGCUAGUAAUCGUAGAUCAGCAUGCUACGGUGAAUACGUUCCCGGGUCUUGUACACACCGCCCGUCACACCACGAGAGUUUGUAACACCCGAAGCCGGUGGAGUAACCU